Molecule: ribosomal RNA, 527 nt
Filed under: uncultured bacterium
Lineage: Bacteria
Description: bacterial SSU rRNA
Rfam family: Bacterial small subunit ribosomal RNA
Source: RNAcentral
AAUAGAUACCCAGGUAGUCCACGCCGUAAACGAUGUCGACUUGGAGGUUGUUCCCUUGAGGAGUGGCUUCCGGAGCUAACGCGUUAAGUCGACCGCCUGGGGAGUACGGCCGCAAGGUUAAAACUCAAAUGAAUUGACGGGGGCCCGCACAAGCGGUGGAGCAUGUGGUUUAAUUCGAUGCAACGCGAAGAACCUUACCUACUCUUGACAUCCAGAGAACUUAGCAGAGAUGCUUUGGUGCCCUCGGGAACUCUGAGACAGGUGCUGCAUGGCUGUCGUCAGCUCGUGUUGUGAAAUGUUGGGUUAAGUCCCGCAACGAGCGCAACCCUUAUCCUUUGUUGCCAGCGGUUCGGCCGGGAACUCAAAGGAGACUGCCAGUGAUAAACUGGAGGAAGGUGGGGAUGACGUCAAGUCAUCAUGGCCCUUACGAGUAGGGCUACACACGUGCUACAAUGGCGUAUACAAAGAGAAGCGACCUCGCGAGAGCAAGCGGACCUCAUAAAGUACGUCGUAGUCCGGAUUGGAGU